This 254-nucleotide ribosomal RNA is filed under the name uncultured bacterium. RNAcentral's name for it is "partial 16S ribosomal RNA". It matches the Rfam family "Bacterial small subunit ribosomal RNA", at positions 524 to 776 of the family's 1533-position model. The record is from RNAcentral.
UACGUAGGGGGCUAGCGUUGUUCCGGAUUUAUUGGGCGUAAAGAGCGUGUGAGCGGCCAGGUAGGUCUGGUGUGAAAACUCGAGGCUUAACCUCGAGAUGUCAUCGGAAACCAUCUGGCUAGAGUCCGGAAGAGGAGAGUGGAAUUCCUGGUGUAGCGGUGAAAUGCGCAGAUAUCAGGAAGAACACCAAUGGCGAAAGCAGCUCUCUGGGACGGUACUGACGCUGAGACGCGAAAGCGUGGGGAGCGAACAGG